RNAcentral lists this ribosomal RNA (330 nucleotides) under uncultured bacterium. RNAcentral's name for it is "bacterial SSU rRNA". It matches the Rfam family "Bacterial small subunit ribosomal RNA", at positions 35 to 334 of the family's 1533-position model. The record is from RNAcentral.
GAUGAACGCUCGGCGGGCGGUGCUUAACACAUGCAAGUCGAACGAAGCACCGUUGAUUUGAAGUUCUUCGGAUGAAGAUCUUGGUGACUGAGUGGCGGACGGGUGAGUAACGCGUGGGUAACCUGCCUCAUACAGGGGGAUAACAGUUAGAAAUGACUGCUAAUACCGCAUAAGACCACAGCACCGCAUGGUGCAGGGGCAAAAACUCCGGUGGUAUAAGAUGGACCCGCGUUGGAUUAGCUUGUUGGUGAGGUAACGGCUCACCAAGGCGACGAUCCAUAGCCGGCCUGAGAGGGUGAACGGCCACAUUGGGACUGAGACACGGCCCAG